GGACGUCUUCGGCGUUCG
This 18-nucleotide small nuclear RNA is filed under the name Arabidopsis thaliana (thale cress). RNAcentral's name for it is "snRNA_08638". Lineage: Eukaryota; Viridiplantae; Streptophyta; Magnoliopsida; Brassicales; Brassicaceae. The record is from RNAcentral.